UAGACAGGCGAGUUUACGACUUCUAGCCAUGAUGAAGUCGUNGCAUACGGCUCAGUAACACGUGGCUAACCUACCCUUGAGACGGAGACAACCCCGGGAAACUGGGGCUAAUCCCAGAUAGAUGAGAACUCCUGGAACGGGUUNUCGUCCAAAAAGCAUCAAGAUCAUGCUUCUUGGUGUUGCUCAAGGAUGGGGCCGCGACCGAUCAGGCUGUUGGUGAGGUAACGGCUCACCAAACCUUUAACCGGUACGGGCCGUGGGAGCGGGAGCCCGGAGAUGGGAACUGAGACAAGGUCCCAGGCCCUACGGGGCGCAGCCGUUGCGAAAACUUGUCAAUGCACGAAAGUGUGAACAGGCUACCCCGAGUGCUGUCCGCUGAGGAUGGCUUUUCUCUGCUGUUAAAAGGCGGGGGAAUAAGCGGGGGGCA
This 427-nucleotide ribosomal RNA is filed under the name uncultured crenarchaeote. Its description in RNAcentral is "bacterial SSU rRNA". It matches the Rfam family "Archaeal small subunit ribosomal RNA", at positions 46 to 448 of the family's 1478-position model. The record is from RNAcentral. Lineage: Archaea; Thermoproteati; Thermoproteota.